This 483-nucleotide ribosomal RNA is filed under the name uncultured bacterium. Its description in RNAcentral is "partial 16S ribosomal RNA". It matches the Rfam family "Bacterial small subunit ribosomal RNA", at positions 28 to 507 of the family's 1533-position model. The record is from RNAcentral.
GACGAACGCUGGCGGCGUGCUUAACACAUGCAAGUCCAACGCUGAAGCUCAGCUUUUGUUGGGUGGAUGAGUGGCGAACGGGUGAGUAACACGUGAGUAACCUGCCCCCUUCUUUGGGAUAACGCCCGGAAACGGGUGCUAAUACUGGAUAUUCACUGGUCUUCGCAUGGGGGUUGGUGGAAAGGGUUUUUCUGGUGGGGGAUGGGCUCGCGGCCUAUCAGCUUGUUGGUGGGGUGAUGGCCUACCAAGGCUUUGACGGGUAGCCGGCCUGAGAGGGUGACCGGGCACAUUGGGACUGAGAUACGGCCCAGACUCCUACGGGAGGCAGCAGUGGGGAAUAUUGCACAAUGGGCGCAAGCCUGAUGCAGCGACGCCGCGUGAGGGAUGGAGGCCGUCGGGUUGUGAACCUCUUUCGCUCAUGGUCAAGCCGCAACAAUGGUUGUGGUGAGGGUAGUGGGUAAAGAAGCGCCGGCUAACUACGUG